This 270-nucleotide ribosomal RNA is filed under the name uncultured archaeon. RNAcentral's name for it is "partial 16S ribosomal RNA". It matches the Rfam family "Archaeal small subunit ribosomal RNA", at positions 477 to 747 of the family's 1478-position model. The record is from RNAcentral.
CAGCACCUCAAGUGGUCAGGAUGAUUAUUGGGCCUAAAGCAUCCGUAGCCGGCGCUGUAAGUUUUCGGUUAAAUCUGUACGCUCAACGUACAGGCUGCCGGGAAUACUGCAGCGCUAGGGAGUGGGAGAGGUAGACGGUACUCGGUAGGAAGGGGUAAAAUCCUUUAAUCUAUUGAUGACCACCUGUGGCGAAGGCGGUCUACCAGAACACGUCCGACGGUGAGGGAUGAAAGCUGGGGGAGCAAACCGGAUUAGAUACCCGAGUAGUCC